This 157-nucleotide unclassified non-coding RNA is filed under the name uncultured Helotiales. RNAcentral describes it as "sequence contains ITS1". Lineage: Eukaryota; Fungi; Ascomycota; Leotiomycetes; Helotiales. The record is from RNAcentral.
CAGAGUUCAUGCCCUCACGGGUAGAUCUCCCACCCUUGAAUAUUAUACCUUUGUUGCUUUGGCGGGCCGCUUCGGCUACCGGCUUCGGCUGGUGAGUGCCUGCCAGAGGACCCAAAACUCUGAAUGUUAGUGUCGUCUGAGUACUAUACAAUAGUUA